GUCUGACAUGCUGGUCCACUACAACCAGACAUCUGAUAUUCUGUACUAUGAAGUACUGGAUAUCCCUCUGCCAGAACUUCAAGGCCUGAAAACGUUGAAAGUUGCUUUUCAUCAUGCCAACAAGGAUGAGGUGGUAAUUCAUACCAUUAGAUUGCCAAAACAGAGCACUGUAGGUGAUGUUAUUAAUGACCUUAAAACAAAGGUUGAGUUAUCUCAUCCCAGUGCAGAACUUAGAUUGCUUGAAGUUUUCUAUCACAAGAUUUACAAGAUCUUUCCACACAAUGAAAAAAUUGAGAAUAUUAAUGAUCAGUAUUGGACAUUACGUGCAGAGGAGAUUCCAGAGGAGGAGAAAAACCUUGUUCCUAAUGAUCGUUUGAUUCAUGUUUAUCUUUUAUGAAAGACUCAGCUCAAAAUCAGCAGGUUCAGAAUUUUGGCGAGCCCUUUUUUCUGGUAAUUCAUGAAGGUGAGACAUUAGCUGAAGUUAAAGUGCGGAUACAGAAAAAAUUACAGGUUCCUGAUGAGGAGUUUGC
RNAcentral lists this unclassified non-coding RNA (530 nucleotides) under Hevea brasiliensis (rubber tree). The record is from RNAcentral. Lineage: Eukaryota; Viridiplantae; Streptophyta; Magnoliopsida; Malpighiales; Euphorbiaceae.